GACGAACGCUGGCGGCGUGCUUAACACAUGCAAGUCGAACGGAAAGGCCCUGCUUUUGUGGGGUGCUCGAGUGGCGAACGGGUGAGUAACACGUGAGUAACCUGCCCUUGACUUUGGGAUAACUUCAGGAAACUGGGGCUAAUACCGGAUAGGAGCUCCUGCUGCAUGGUGGGGGUUGGAAAGUUUCGGCGGUUGGGGAUGGACUCGCGGCUUAUCAGCUUGUUGGUGGGGUAGUGGCUUACCAAGGCUUUGACGGGUAGCCGGCCUGGGAGGGUGACCGGCCACAUUGGGACUGAGAUACGGCCCAGCCUCCUCCGGGAGGCAGCAGUGGGGAAUAUUGCACAAUGGGCGGAAGCCUGAUGCAGCACCGCCGCGUGCGGGAUGACGGCCUUCGGGUUGUAAACCGCUUUCGCCUGUGACGAAGCGUGAGUGACGGUAAUGGGUAAAGAAGCACCGGCUAACUACGUG
This 468-nucleotide ribosomal RNA is filed under the name uncultured bacterium. Its description in RNAcentral is "partial 16S ribosomal RNA". It matches the Rfam family "Bacterial small subunit ribosomal RNA", at positions 28 to 507 of the family's 1533-position model. The record is from RNAcentral.